Phodopus roborovskii (desert hamster) is the source of this 169-nucleotide small nuclear RNA. RefSeq annotates it as U1 spliceosomal RNA. The record is from RefSeq and is a predicted model, not a curated record. The transcript has a single exon. NCBI's taxonomy places the organism in Eukaryota, Metazoa, Chordata, Mammalia, Rodentia, Cricetidae.
AUACUCACCUGGCAGGGGAAAUAACAUGAUUACGAAGGUGGCUUUCCCAGAGCGAGGCUAAUCCAUUGCACUCCAGGUGUGCUGAUCCUUGCGAUUUCACCAAAUUCGGGAAACUGGACUGCAUAAUUUGUGGUAGUGGGGGAUUGUAUGUUCAUCACAUUCAUGCCUA